CUCGUUCGUUGACCUUUAGCUCCAUGGAUGGGCUGCGCGGCGGCGACUCGAUGACGAAGCUCGCACACCCUCAAAAUUCUGCUAUUUUUUGUACAGUGUGCAGCCGGUAUUGACCUUGUAUCCGGCUACAGCGAGGGACUUGGAUACGUGUGACUGCGGCCAUUCUCAUAAUCCAGGUGUGUCUGCUCCUGCUUCUGAAAACUCUAUAGUGGUGCCUGGAUGGAAGAAAAGGUGAUUGUUCAUCGACUCAGAAAAAUAUAAUAAUAAAACUUACUGUGAUAAUCAGUUGAUGUUAAUCAUAUUUUUGUAGCUCCAAACAAUGUGGUGUGUGUGCAACUGAAAAAUAAUGGGUGAUUUGACGAAAACCAUGAAACUCCUGCAAGAAAUGAAGACAAAGGAUACAAAUCUGAAAGUUGAGAUAGAUGUAGACGGAGAUGGUCGUGUCCGUAAUAUGCUCCGUACCAACAAAAGUACUGCACACAUCUAGUUAUGCAUGUCUUAUUUGUCAUAUAUAAUUAACAUUUGAUCUCAUGCUUGGUAUGCCUAUGCAGUAUCCAUAUCUAUUUUUAAGUUUUAGCGACAUUGGUGGAUCAUCACGGCCACCCCAAUUGCCCACCCUUCUUAGUGUCAUGCUCUGCAUCAUGGGCAUGGUACAUAACGUCUCACUUCAGAAACUCCACAGCUAGUGUGCAUCAUGUGCCAGGUACAGAAAGCUAGUGUGCAUCUUGUGCCGGGUACAGGACAUGUGACUGUAUCGUAAUCCGAGUUCAGACAUAACGCCAAGCGUCUCGCAAAUGUGCCAGGUACAUUAUUUUAACCUGAACCCCUAGAUAAUGUGCCAGGCACAUUAUUCUUAAGCUUGGGAGUACCUGCAUGAUGACAGCGAAAUCAGAAACACAAUACAGAUUUCCUUUUGCGAACCCUUUUACUUGCCUACUUUGACCUGCAAAACACAGACAUCAAGUUUAAUCACCAAUUUCCGAACUGCACCCAAAACCAAACAACGAUUUGGGUGUACUGCUCCCAAAUAAACUACUCCAGACAGCAAAAUGGGGAUGCGCAAGCAAAAAAAUAUCACAUAUUCACCUGGGUGGAUCAGGACAAUACCAAACGGCGUGGGAUCUCCCCAGCGGCGGUGCCCCGGCGCGGGAUAGCAUCGGCGGCGAUUCCGGUGCCGCAGGCCCGGACCUGCCGCUGAUUCCCCGCCUCCCCUUGUCCCCUUGUCCCAGCAACUCUCGCCUCCGCUCAGAUCCGUGUUCUCUCCAUGUCCAAUCUGAAAUGAAUCCGCCUCCCCCGGCGCCUAGCAUUCUCCUGUGGAAAGAAUUAAACACUGACUCUUAGCCAAAGAGAUAGUUCAACGCAGAAUGAAAAAAAAUCAAGAAAGCGGAAACAAAUCGCCGCAAGGGAACUAGUAGUAGUGGUCAAUGAGCCCAAUCGAGCCCAAAUCAACAACAACCAGCAAGGAAGCAAUUCAGCGAACACCUGAGCUGCACGCACGCAAGAACGAAUGGAUCAAGCAGCAGAGGAAACGGGACGCAUCGUGGCGGGAUGGAUGGAUGAUGAAUCACCUCUGGUUUCGGCGAGGCAGCGCUGCACGAAGCCGAGGUCGGAGGUGUAGUUGAAGGGCCCGUUCCAGUCCCCCUGCCUGCGCAAAUCACAGCCCGGAUCAAUCACCG
RNAcentral lists this long non-coding RNA (1676 nucleotides) under Triticum aestivum (bread wheat). RNAcentral's name for it is "long non-coding RNA (TAES_LNC011263)". Lineage: Eukaryota; Viridiplantae; Streptophyta; Magnoliopsida; Poales; Poaceae. The record is from RNAcentral.